Molecule: long non-coding RNA, 3353 nt
Organism: Eriocheir sinensis (Chinese mitten crab)
Lineage: Eukaryota; Metazoa; Arthropoda; Malacostraca; Decapoda; Varunidae
Exons: 3
Source: RefSeq, a predicted model, not a curated record
CAGGAGCUGCCGUGACGGGGGCCUGACUCGUGGGGCACCGCCUGUGUCUUGCCCCACACACCCAGGAGCUGCCGUGACGGGGGCCUGACCCGUGGGGCACCGCCUGUGUCUUGCCCCACACACCCAGGAACGGAGGCCUGACACAUUGGGCGCCCGCGCUGAUAACGACCAAGACUGGAGACCAAGAUGCCGGACCAGGAGUGGGAGACAUCACGAAGAGUCAUACAAAAAUGGAUAGGUCAAUUUAGGUCAAGAAAUGCUGUAUAAAGGACAUAAGGAGUGUCACUUUAAUAGCGGCGAUGAUAUUGUGCUUGGUUCAGUGUGUUAGUGAGGAUAGGCUGUCACUGGUUAGCUGGUGUUGGUAGAGCGAGGCACCACCUCAGUGUAAUAUAUCAAGUUAUUUAUAUUACAGCAACACUUACAAAUCAACUCAUCCCUUUCCCUUCAAGCAAUAGUUCUAACACCUUUAAUUUAAUGACUGAAUGUUUCCUUGAAAUGCCAGAAUUUUCUGUUUUCUCCACUCCCACACGAUCUCAGCGUGUAACGAAACUCACGAGGAAUUAAUCCAGACAAGGAAAGGUUUUACCGGCGCCGGGGAUCAAACCCGCGACCAGCGUAACGGGAGAGCCACUCCUUUACCAGUCGGCCAAAGAGGUAUCCAGUGUUAUCCACCCCUGGCUAAGUGAGUUAUGGAAGGCAAGUCAGCAUUACAUCCUUCCUUCUUUUUUCAUUUCCUUGUUUUCUUUUUGACCCAUUUUCUCUGAUUCUUUGUUUUUCUUCAGUUUUCUCUCUCAACCAUUCUCUCCUCCUCCUCCUCCUCCUCCUCCUUUCUGUCUAUCUUCAUCCUUUCCUUCCUUUUCAUAAGUCUUAAGUUAUCUUUUACUUGACAUUCUUUCUGGUGGUCAAAUCUUGCAUCUCUUUUUUUUUUUUUUUUUUUUCCUUUUGUCCAUUCUCUCUCCUCCUCCUCCUCCUCCUCUCUGUUUUUCUUCAUCCCUUCCUUCCUUAUAAUGAGUCCAAGUUAUCUUUUGCUUAAUUAACGUUUAUAAUUCUUUCUGGUGGUCAAAUCUUGCAUCUCAUUUUCCAAUCGUACAUUCUCUCUCCUCCUCCUCCUCCUGCUCAUAAUCCAGUUCCUUCUAUUCUCCUUUCUCCUUUAUUCCUUUUUCACUUUUCCUCCUUCUCUUUUCCAUUCCCCUUCCCCGACUUUCCUCCAUUCUUUCCUCCUCUAUUCUUCCUUCAUCUCCUCUUCCUCCAAUUCUUUCUAUAUCCGUUUCUCCUUUUUCUCCUUUCACUCCUCCUCCUCCUCUCUGUCUAUCUUCAUCCCUUCCUUCCUUUUAAUAAGUCCAAGUUAUCUUUUGCGUGACGUUCUUUCUAAUGGUCAAAUCUUACAUCUCAUUUUCUUUCAUUCAUUCUCUCUCCUCCUCCUCUGUCUAUCUUCAUCCCUUCCUUCCUUUUAAUAAGUCCAAGUUAUCUUUUGCGUGACGUUCUUUCUAAUGGUCAAAUCUUACAUCUCAUUUCCUUUCGUUCAUUCUCUCUCCUCCUCCUCCUCCUCCUUCUCCUCUGUCUAUCUUCAUCCCUUCCUUCCUUUUAAUAAGUCCAAGUUAUCUUUUGCUUGAGGUUCUUUCUAGUGUGUUUGUGGUGCCCGGCUCUGCUCACAAGUUUGUUUUGUCAUUGUAUAAUUGUCAGUCCUAGUUUUUGUCUGUAUAAUUGUCAGUCUAGUUUUUGUCACCGUGUAAUUGUCAGUCCUAGUUAGUUUUGUCACUAUAAUUGUCAGUCCUAGUUAGUUUUGUCACUGUAUAAUUGUCAGUCCCAGCCAGGCGCCUCUUCCAUGUAAAGAUAUCGGCAGCUUCAAGCCUUGCCGAUAUCUCAAUCCGUACGUGAAUGUAAAUUAACCGAAAUCCUUGUUACUAAGCCCUGCACGGUGCUCUCUCACAUAAUGCUUCUUUAAAUUUUCAGUCACUUAACUUCCGGGGUUAGUACUAUAUUUUGCCAUAAGUUAACUCCCCGUGAUGGCCAGUUUCAUGUACUAUAUAUAAGUAAUUUGCCUUUUGCAUGGCUAUAAUUCUGCACCCGUGUCUAAGGCCCAGUUUCACAGUUCCUCAUGAUGGGUUAGUAAGCUCCGAAACCAAUACCAGAGCCUUCGAAAUUUCCUUGUACGGUGUCUGGAGUUUAUAUUCAAGUUCACAAAUUUGACGAGACUAUACAGGAAAGGUCUUGUGUGUUUAUGGUACGUAGGAAAGGUUGGAGAAGGGAGAUGAGAUUGGGAGAGGAGUGAGCCGAGAUGGUGUUUAUAUUCAAGUUCACAAGUUUGACGAGACUAUACAGGAAAGGUCUUGUGUGUUUAUGGUACGUAGGAAAGGUUGGAGAAGGGAGAUGAGAUUGGGAGAUGAGUGAGCCGAGAUGGUGUUUAUAUUCAAGUUCACAAGUUUGACGAGACUAUACAGGAAAGGUCUUGUGUGUUUAUGGUACGUAGGAAAGGGAGGGGAAGGGAGAAGAGAUUGAGAGACGAGUGAGCUGAGAUGGUGUUUAUAUUCAAGUUCACAAAUUUGACAACACAAUACAGGAAAAGCUCUGUGUAUUUAGUGUGUCAUCGAAGACCGCGCCAUUUAGAACAGUAUGGGAUUCUAUAGCUUGGUUCGGGAGUGUUACAAAGACCAUGAUGGACUGUGGAAGCGGCCCUUAAUGUUCCCUUUUCUAAUAUGCCUCUCUGUUUUUGCAGGAUGCCGCGGACGGACCAUGCAGAGGACUCAUCGCGACGACACCAACGGUUUGGUUAAGUGGGUUCUCUUGUGUGUGCGUCUGUGUGUGAAUGGCAGGCCUGUCGUAUGAUUGUGUGUGUGUGUGCGUGGGCGUUAUGCCUUCGCACUAUUAUUUUGUUAGGAUGUAUUUUUGUGUGUGAACUUUUUGCACGUAAUCUUUUUUUAUACCCAUAGCUAGCGUUUGUUUGUGUGGCAGUGUUCCGGGAGAUGGACGCCGGGGGACAUGGGCUUGGGGAGGCGCACAUGACCUCCUCUGUCCGUGACCUCUUCAGCUGGGGAGACCGUGUGUUGCCCCGCCUGGAGAGACACGUUGAUGGAGGUGGCCGUGUGUGUCACCCUUUGCCUGUAUCCUCUGGCGCCCAGAGGCGCGUAAGUGGAGAGCAUCGGCGCAGCGCGGGAGCAGCACGUCAGGGUGUAGGGUGUUUGUUUAGCUGGUGUAGGGUGUUAGGGUGUUAGGGUGUUAGGUGUAACAACGGUUGGCUCUUUCACAGAACGGGUGUGAUUCCGUUCUGCGUUUGAGUCUUCCACCUUCAGACGGUCUCCCUCCGAGAUGUCUGAAGUUUUUUUUGUCGGUUUUCUCCGUAGGAGGAAGCCGAC